CUUUUUAGUUAGCGGUUUUUAAAAGAUGACCGCGCUAAUGUGCUCGCGCGUUGGCCUUUCAGUUCCAUUUGUUGGGUUCUCGGGGAGGGGAGAGAAAAGCCUGGCCGUGGCAUUGAGGUUUUGAAGCGACAGGGGGGGUGUGAAGGACAAAAUGGCGAUGGCGGGCCGCGCUGACGGGCCUCUCUGUGAUGAGAAUCUUUUUCACAGACCUGUUCUGAGCUCCGUGAGGAUAAGUAACUCUGAGGAGACCGGCCCUGCACUGCCGUUGCGGUCCUAGCUCCGGAAAACAAUGAGAUUACGAACUAGCCUAGUGCUAACUUCAUGUCUUAUUGUCUGCAGGGUCCUGGCGCGCGUUGAACGCUAAAGGCUCGUAGAGAGCUCUCGUUCCAAUGUGGUUUAAUUCAAAAGAGCUUACAGCUUGGAGGAUGGGAUCAAGCAUUAUGGUGGUGCCCCAGCAUCUCGUCACCAAUCCGAAGGAAUUCAGCUGCCUCCCAGGGUGAAUGCCGCUUGUUCCUCUUGGAGUGAUUUUCCUGGGGAGGGAGAUGGCAACCCAGCAAGCAGCACAGGUGGUUCUUGUGAUGGUGUGCUCUUCCCUCACCCACAUGUCACUGUCAGAUGAUUUGAAUUGAUAUUGCUGAUCCUCUGUGAGGUUGUGCUGGUGGUGAUGUAUUCGUCUAUCUUACAAAGCCUCUUGAUCUGCUCAGGGUCAAACUCCUGGAAAGAGUUGAGAGUGGAGCAGCUUGUUCCUGUAUACCCUGGAAGGCUUCCAGAGUUAAAAGGUACCAUUGCCAGUUACUUGCUUGUUUGCUCAAAGGUCUAGCUCGUUGUCUGGAGCCUGAGAAUGAGGAGAAAGGAGUAAGCCAUAUUCCUGCUCAUCUCCCUCUGAAGUCAAGAGGGCUGAAGAAGUAACAGAGCACACAUGAUGGAAUCCAACUCUUGGAGGAUAUCAAGAAUGGCAUUUUCUUAUACAACCUACCUAUUCAAAUUAGCAUACAAUUAUUUCAGGCUUUCUAAAUAAAAGUUCUGUUUUCUUAAAUCUUCA
Hippopotamus amphibius kiboko is the source of this 1042-nucleotide RNA transcript. RefSeq lists it as uncharacterized. NCBI's taxonomy places the organism in Eukaryota, Metazoa, Chordata, Mammalia, Artiodactyla, Hippopotamidae. The record is from RefSeq and is a predicted model, not a curated record. The transcript has 12 exons.